UACGGAGGGUGCAAGCGUUAAUCGGAAUUACUGGGCGUAAAGCGCGCGCAGGCGGCCUUUCAAGUCAGGGGUGAAAGCCCGGAGCUCAACUCCGGAAUUGCCUUUGAAACUGUCAGGCUCGAGUACGGGAGAGGUGAGUGGAAUUCCCAGUGUAGAGGUGAAAUUCGUAGAUAUUGGGAAGAACACCGGUGGCGAAGGCGGCUCACUGGCCCGUUUCUGACGCUCAGGCGCGACAGCGUGGGGAUCAAACAGG
This 253-nucleotide ribosomal RNA is filed under the name uncultured bacterium. RNAcentral describes it as "partial 16S ribosomal RNA". It matches the Rfam family "Bacterial small subunit ribosomal RNA", at positions 524 to 776 of the family's 1533-position model. The record is from RNAcentral.